This 263-nucleotide ribosomal RNA is filed under the name uncultured bacterium. RNAcentral describes it as "partial 16S ribosomal RNA". It matches the Rfam family "Bacterial small subunit ribosomal RNA", at positions 793 to 1055 of the family's 1533-position model. The record is from RNAcentral.
GUCCACGCUGUAAACGAUGAAUACUAGGUGUCGGGUGGCAAAGCCAUUCGGUGCCGCAGCUAACGCAAUAAGUAUUCCACCUGGGGAGUACGUUCGCAAGAAUGAAACUCAAAGGAAUUGACGGGGACCCGCACAAGCGGUGGAGCAUGUGGUUUAAUUCGACGCAACGCGAAGAACCUUACCAAGUCUUGACAUCCUUUUGACCGGUCGGUAAUGCGACCUUCUCUUCGGAGCAAAAGUGACAGGUGGUGCAUGGUUGUCGU